ACAAAACGUUAGGGCAAAUAGAUUUUCUCCUUUUUUCGUCUCGUUCCCUUCUUCCGCCGUGCGAGAGGGCCAACAUCGCCUCAUCCUUCUAUCGGCGACAAGCUACUCCAGUGUCGGCCUUUAGGAAAUCCGGUUUGAAAGAAGAUUGGCUUACGGGUUCAUUUAUGUGAUUGUAAAGGCUAUUAUCUUUUUAUCUUGAGAGCUGGUGGAGAUCUGCUGCUGCAAAAAAUUGGCUUGAUGAAUAACUUACUCUCGGGAGCUUUUAAAUGAAGUUGCUUAGUCAGUUUGGUGCAUUUUUGGAUCUGGUGGCUGAUAAGAGUUCUAUUUUUGGUCCGGAUAUCCGGCGCAAAGGAAAUUGGAAUCGUAAUUAUGUACCGGAGUAAAACCGUGACACAUGCUACGCCAUUUGAGCAUAAAAGUUGCAGUUUUGGCGCAGUUCAUUCCGCGCCAAUUCCUUAUUUUUCUGGUCUUUAAUCAAUGGCUAUGAGGAUAGGUCCGUAUUUUUUUAUUAGGUCGGAACCCGUGUGCUUAUAUUAUCUUGUACCAGAUAAAAGAAAUAUUUUGCUAAGGGACUUCUGCUUUGCCCCUUGUGCCUGGUGACACAUUUUUCCUUUUCAAGGUCUUCGUUACAUGCGCCUCAGUCCCGGACACACCACUUAUUGUUCCGACAACUGCUGGGGCGACUACCAUUCGCGACUUUGUCGGUGAAGAUCCUAUUAAGUGGAACUACAAGGAUGUUCGGAUAUACUUUCAUACCUUUCAUUUAUUGAAUUCUAAAACUUAAAAGAAAUAUUACUUAAACUAAACCUCCUUCUGUUGGUAAUUGCAGCUCAUGCGCCACCCCUAAAACAUAUCAACCGAUUCCUUAAUGUUUUGCCCCCGUUUGCCUUAUGGAUUGGAUGUCGUAGAUGUGUUUGGAUGGUAGGUUGUUACGGCUAUGUGAAAUACCUAUGGAAUAGAUGCAUAGAAAUUUGGAGUUAUCUUUUUUGUGGUGAGAAUUGUUGCUAUGGAUUGAUGGAUUUCCCCAGUUGCUUAUUACUAGGUUGGAUGUUUAAAAUGCUUGCAUUUUGCGGAACAUAAUGUCAAAGUGAAGAUGUUGCUAGGCUUGUUUGAUGGGUUACUUUAUUUUGUUUUUUGG
This is a long non-coding RNA of Andrographis paniculata, 1138 nucleotides long. RefSeq lists it as uncharacterized. The record is from RefSeq and is a predicted model, not a curated record. Lineage: Eukaryota; Viridiplantae; Streptophyta; Magnoliopsida; Lamiales; Acanthaceae. The transcript is spliced from 8 exons.